Molecule: non-coding RNA, 842 nt
Organism: Peromyscus maniculatus bairdii (prairie deer mouse)
Lineage: Eukaryota; Metazoa; Chordata; Mammalia; Rodentia; Cricetidae
Source: RefSeq, a predicted model, not a curated record
AGAACAGUUUUGAAGUCUGUGGAGCCUUUAAGAGGUGGAGUCUAGCUGGUAGAAAUAGAGCAUUGUAGUGGGUAGCCAUUCCAGCUUUGAUCUGGAAGUUCCAACCCCCAUUGAGGCUUUGGUAACUGCCAUGCCUACAAGGCGGGGCCAAGAGAGCGCCCUGAAGACCGGAGAUCCAGAUGCCACUCUCUCUCUGUUCCUGGACCCUGGAUGGUGGAGGUUGACCGAGCAGAGUUCUCCAGAGAACACCGCCGGACUGUGACACACCAUCCCCAGACCCUGAAACCUACCAAUCCGUUCAUUUAAAACCCUGCUAAGAGGCCAGAGAGAGAGAGAGCAGUCACUGGCGUGCAGAAAGCCGUGGGUUCAAAGCUGAGGAGACGGCUCAGUGGGCAAAGCACUUGCUGCACAAGCGUGAGAACUGACAAGUGCCAAGUGGCCAAGGAUGUCAGGAAGAAUGUUGCAUCUGAACCAGCCAGAGUCUGCCACUGCACCCCUGCCUCGGGAGGCUCUGAGCCAGCUGGGCUGCCCAGCACCUGGGUUCCAGCUGCUAGAGCCAGGCAGUUGAACACCAGGCUGGGGGAGGCCCAGGAAGAGCAAUGAUAACUUCUGUUUCAAAAUAAAUGUUCUGAGCUUGGCCUCUCCUGCAGCUGCUGGUCGGAGAUGGUGCAGAUAUUCCCAUUGUCCCAGAAAGACCCAGGCUCUGGAGCAAACGAUCAGAUUCCACUCAAUCCCUGUACACCUCAGCUGCUCCUCUGCUAGCUCUUUAAGAUGGAGAGACGUAGUCCAUUACAUGUUAGUGCGGAUUUGUGGAGGUGAGAAUAAAGAGCCUGUGUACAGUU